Molecule: ribosomal RNA, 845 nt
Filed under: uncultured bacterium
Lineage: Bacteria
Description: bacterial SSU rRNA
Rfam family: Bacterial small subunit ribosomal RNA
Source: RNAcentral
ACACAUGCAAGUCGAGGGGCAGCAUGGUCUUAGCUUGCUAAGGCCGAUGGCGACCGGCGCACGGGUGAGUAACACGUAUCCAACCUGCCGUCUACUCUUGGACAGCCUUCUGAAAGGAAGAUUAAUACAAGAUGGCAUCAUGAGUCCGCGUGUUCACAUGAUUAAAGGUAUUCCGGUAGACGAUGGGGAUGCGUUCCAUUAGAUAGUAGGCGGGGUAACGGCCCACCUAGUCUUCGAUGGAUAGGGGUUCUGAGAGGAAGGUCCCCCACAUUGGAACUGAGACACGGUCCAAACUCCUACGGGAGGCAGCAGUGAGGAAUAUUGGUCAAUGGGCGCAGGCCUGAACCAGCCAAGUAGCGUGAAGGAUGACUGCCCUACGGGUUGUAAACUUCUUUUAUAAAGGAAUAAAGUCGGGUAUGUAUACCCGUUUGCAUGUACUUUAUGAAUAAGGAUCGGCUAACUCCGUGCCAGCAGCCGCGGUAAUACGGAGGAUCCGAGCGUUAUCCGGAUUUAUUGGGUUUAAAGGGAGCGUAGAUGGAUGUUUAAGUCAGUUGUGAAAGUUUGCGGCUCAACCGUAAAAUUGCAGUUGAUACUGGAUAUCUUGAGUGCAGUUGAGGCAGGCGGAAUUCGUGGUGUAGCGGUGAAAUGCUUAGAUAUCACGAAGAACUCCGAUUGCGAAGGCAGCCUGCUAAGCUGCAACUGACAUUGAGGCUCGAAAGUGUGGGUAUCAAACAGGAUUAGAUACCCUGGUAGUCCACACGGUAAACGAUGAAUACUCGCUGUUUGCGAUAUACAGCAAGCGGCCAAGCGAAAGCGUUAAGUAUUCCACCUGGGGAGUACGCCGG